RNAcentral lists this ribosomal RNA (292 nucleotides) under uncultured bacterium. RNAcentral's name for it is "partial 16S ribosomal RNA". It matches the Rfam family "Bacterial small subunit ribosomal RNA", at positions 505 to 796 of the family's 1533-position model. The record is from RNAcentral.
GUGUCAGCAGCCGCGGUAAUACGGGGGGUGCAAGCGUUGUUCGGAAUUAUUGGGCGUAAAGCGCGUGUAGGCGGUCUGAUUAGUCUGAUGUGAAAGCCCUGGGCUCAACCCAGGAAGUGCAUUGGAUACUGUCAGACUUGAAUACGGGAGAGGGUAGUGGAAUUCCUAGUGUAGGAGUGAAAUCCGUAGAUAUUAGGAGGAACACCGGUGGCGAAGGCGGCUACCUGGACCGAUAUUGACGCUGAGACGCGAAAGCGUGGGUAGCAAACAGGAUUAGAAACCCCCGUAGUCC